AUUCACGGAGAGUUUGAUCCUGGCUCAGGACGAA
This 34-nucleotide ribosomal RNA is filed under the name Actinacidiphila glaucinigra. RNAcentral describes it as "Streptomyces glauciniger 16S rRNA. Bacterial SSU". Lineage: Bacteria; Bacillati; Actinomycetota; Actinomycetes; Kitasatosporales; Streptomycetaceae. The record is from RNAcentral.